RNAcentral lists this ribosomal RNA (1364 nucleotides) under uncultured bacterium. RNAcentral describes it as "bacterial SSU rRNA". It matches the Rfam family "Bacterial small subunit ribosomal RNA", at positions 28 to 1381 of the family's 1533-position model. The record is from RNAcentral.
GAUUAACGCUGGCGGCGUGCCUAACACAUGCAAGUCGAGCGGCAGCGAGUUUUACACUGAAUUCUGGAAACUUCUGGUAUAAAUAGAAGAGUUAUUCAAGAAUUUUGUGUAAAAUGUCGGCGAGCGGCGGACGGCUGAGUAACGCGUGGGAAUGUACCCCAAAGUGAGGGAUAACGCACCGAAAGGUGUGCUAAUACCGCAUAUGAUCUUCGGAUUAAAGCCUUCGGGCGCUUUGGGAACAGCCUGCGUCAGAUUAGAUAGUUGGUGAGGUAAUGGCUCACCAAGUCGACGAUCUGUAACUGGUUUGAGAGGAUGAUCAGUCAGACUGGAACUGAGACACGGUCCAGACUCCUACGGGAGGCAGCAGUGAGGAAUCUUCCACAAUGGGCGAAAGCCUGAUGGGGCAACGCCGCGUGCAGGAUGAAGGCCUUCGGGUUGUAAACUGCUUUUAUAAGUGAGGAUUAUGACAGUAACUUAUGAAUAAGGAUCGGCUAACUACGUGCCAGCAGCCGCGGUCAUACGUAGGAUCCGAGCGUUAUCCGGAGUGACUGGGCGUAAAGAGUUGCGUAGGUGGUUUAAUAAGCGAAUAGUGAAAUCUGGUGGCUCACCAUUCAGACUAUUAUUCGAACUGUUGAACUCGAGAGCAGAAGAGGUAGCUGGAAUUUCUAGUGUAGGAGUGAAAUCCGUAGAUAUUAGAAGGAACACCGAUGGCGUAGGCAGGCUACUGGGCUGUUUCUGACACUGAGGCACGAAAGCGUGGGGAGCGAACCGGAUUAGAUACCCGGGUAGUCCACGCCGUAAACGAUGGAUACUAGCUGUUUGGGGUAUCGACCCCCUGAGUAGCGAAGCUAACGCGUUAAGUAUCCCGCCUGUGGAGUACGAUCGCAAGAUUAAAACAUAAAGGAAUUGACGGGGACCCGCACAAGCGGUGGAUCAUGUUCUUUAAUUCGAUGAUAACCGAUAAACCUUACCAGGUCUUGACAUCCUUGGAAUCUUUCAGAAAUGAGAGAGUGCUUUUUAAGAACCAAGUGACAGGUGAUGCAUGGCCGUCGUCAGCUCGUGUCGUGAGAUGUUUGGUUAAGUCCAUCAACGAGCGCAACCCUUGUGAAUAGUUGUAUUUUUCUAUUCAGACUGCCCCGGCAACGGGGAGGAAGGAGGGGAUGACGUCAGGUCAGUAUUUCCCUUACGUCCUGGGCUAGAAACGUGAUACAAUGGCUAGUACAAUGCGCAGCGAAGCCGCGAGGUGAAGCAAAUCGCAUCAAAGCUAGUCCCAGUUCGGAUUGUAGGCUGAAACUCGCCUGCAUGAAGUCGGAAUCGCUAGUAAUCGCAGAUCAGCAUGCUGCGGUGAAUACGUUCCCGGGUCU